UGGUUGGCAAAUAAGGGCGAACGGUGGAUGCCUAGACUAGAAAAGGCGAUGAAGGACGCGGCGUAGCAGCGAUAUGCCUCGGGGAGGUGCGUAGCAACCUAUGAUCCGGGGAUCUCCGAAUGGGGAAACCUAGUUGAGUAACCCUCAAUUGUUUCGAGCAAUCGAUUCGCGUACCCACUGAAGUAAAACAUUCCAGUAAGUGGAGGAAAAAAGAACAAAUCAGUUAUUCCCCUAGUAUCGGCGAGAGAACAGGGAACAGCCCAAACUAAGGUUGUGAUUUAUCACUGUCUUGGGGUUUAGUAGGAAACGCUCUCCAGUGAAUAACAUAGGGCGCCUGCGCAAGCAGCGUGCUCUCUGUUAUUCAUACGGAGGUGGAGGAGUAAAAAAAUCUUUUGUUAGCCAAAGCCGUCUGGAAAGCGGCGCCAGAGCGGGUGAUAGCCCCCUAGGCGAAAACAAUUGGUCUCCUUAGUUUUUUAACUCGAGUACUUCGGAGUAAAACAGUUCCGGAGGAAUAUGCCUGUACUAUCAGGUAAGGCUAAAUACUUUUCUAGAUCGAUAGUGAACAAGUACCGUGAGGGAAAGGUGAAAAGCAGGCCGGUGAGGCCGUUGAAAUAGAACCUGAAACCGUUUGUCUACAAGGAAUUGAAGCACGAGCGGUGCUUCGCACCGAGCUUUCGAGUUCAAGUACUGUGUCGAGCGUAAGCGAGACACAUUCGUAGAACUGGAGUGCUCGAUGCGGAGCAUCGAGUGCGACAAUGUGCCUAUUGAAGAAUGAUCCAACGACUUAUUUUGUGUUGCAGUCUAAGCGCGCAAGCGUGCAGGCAUAGCGAAAGCGAGUCAUAAUAUGGCGUCAUAUAAUGCAGCGCAAGAUAGACCCGAAGCGUGAUGAGCUUGCCUUGGCCAGGGUGAACUCCCGAGAAAUCGGGAGGGAGGCCCGAACCGGUUGAUUGUUCAAAAUCUUCGGAUGAGCUGAGGUAAGGAGUGAAAAGCUAAUCGAAUAACGUAAUAGCUGGUUCUCUCCGAAACAGUUUUAGGACUGGCGGCAAGAGUUCCUCUUGGGGGUAGAGCACUGGAUGAUCGUUACAGGGGGAAACUCCGAACGAUCAAUCAAACUCCGAAUACCGAGAGUCAAGAUCUUGCUAGUUAGACUGCGGGGGCUAAGCUCCGUGGUCGCGAGGGGAAGAGCCCAGAUCGUCAUCUAAGGUCCCUAAAUCCAUGCUAAGUGUGAAAGGUAGUCAUAACCCAUAGACAGAUAGGAGGUUGGCUUAGAGGUAGCCAUCCUUUAAAGAGUGUGUAACAACUCACUAUUCGACGGGUCGUGGCGCCGAAAAUGUACCGGGGCUAAGCAUGGUACCGAAGAUACGGAUUUACACUUCCUUCGGGAGGUGUAAGUGGUAGGAGAGCAUUUCGGCCUGCAGUGAAGGUCGACCCGCGAGGGCGACUGGAGCGGCCGGAAGAGAAAAUGUUGGAAUGAGUAACCACAAUCCCAAUGAGAAAUUGGAACCCCGAAAAUCCAAGGUUUCCGUGGCACUGGCAAUCAACCACGGGUGAGGCGGUCCUAAGGCAAUGGCGAAAGCCGCAGUCGAUGGGAAGCUGGUUAAUAUUCCAGCCCGGCCGCACGAUCAUAACUGGAGGACGAAGGAAACAGGCAGCCGUGUCUUAUUGGUUUGGCAUUGUUUGUGUCAAGUUAAUGCGGACACCGACAGAAGGUCAGGAAUUUACCUGGCCGACGGCUGUGAAGAGCCUUCCGAGAAAAAUCCAGCCAAAUCGAGCGUGAGGCCCCCGUACCGUAAACCGACACUGGUGGAUAGGGCGAGUAGCCCAAGGGGAACGAGUGAUUCAUCGUUAAGGAACUAGGCAAAAUAGCGGCCGUAAGUUAGCGAUAAGGCCUGCCCUUUCUCAUAGCAAUAUGGGGCGGGGCCGCAGCGAAAGAACCUCUGGCGACUGUUUACCAAAAACACAGCUCCCUGCUAACUGGCAACAGGAUGUAUAGGGGGUGACACCUGACCGAUGCGAGAAGGUCAAGCUUGGGGGUGGCGCAGCAAUGCGUUUGCUCACUGAGUCAAGCCCUCGUCAAUGUCAGCGAUAACUAUAAUCGUUCUAAGGUAGCGCAAUUCCUUUUCGGGUAAGUUCCGAAGCGCACGAAAGGUGUAACGACCGGAGAACUGUCUCAACGAUGAGCUCGGUGAAAAUGCGAUUCCCGUGAAGACGCGGGAUACCUGCAGCGGGACGAAAAGACCCCGGAAGCUUUACUGCAGCUUGGUAUUGAUUUCAGAGUUUUGUUACGUAGCGUAGUGGCGAGGAUUUGAAGCGUCGCUUUCGGGUGACGUGGAUCCGACAAUGAAACAGCCAUUUUCAAAAUUUUGACGUCUAACUGGUAGGGAACCCUUCGGGGAAACCCUGCCAAGACAGUGCUUGGUAGGCAGUUUAAAUGGGGCGUUUUCCUCCAAAAGAGUAACGGAGGAGUUUAUUAAGGUCAGCUUAGCCCGGAUGGAAAUCGGGCAGGACGUGCAAACGCAAAAGCUGGCUUGACUGCGAGACAUACAAGUCGAGCAGGUGCGAAAGCAGAAGUUAGUGACCCGACGGCUUCUUAAUAGAAAGGCCGGAGAUACCGGAUAAAAGCUACUCCGGGGAUAACAGGCUAGUAUUGUCCGAGCGUCCCUAGCGACGACAAUGCUCGGCACCUCGAUGUCGGCUCGCCACAGCGCGGGGGUGUAGAAGCUCCCAAGCGUUUGGCUGUUCGCCAAUUAAAGUGGCACGUGAGCUGGGUUCAGACCGUCAACGAAGAUAACCCAAUCGAAGGUAACGUAAGAAACUGUUCAUUGUUAGAUAAAACGGCGGCCCAAGAAAGCAAUUUCUUGGAGUGAAGCUUUGCAUUAAAGUCCGUCAUUCGUCCGACGGAUCGUAAAGCAAGAAAAUCGACUCAUAUCGGUGAAGUCCUUGUCAGAUCUAGACCUGGAUCGCAAGGAUAAUACCGAGGGAAGUUUGUUGAAGUUGAGACAGGGCGGCGGAAGCAAUCAGUUUCAACAUAACCCCUUAGAGACUUAGCUCGAAAGAGCUGGAGUCCGGCAAUCAUGCCGGGCUAACACGUCGAUCAUCUCGAAAGAGAUGGUGGUAUAGUCCAACCCGCCAGUAAUGGCGAUAGAAGAAAAGUUGCGUGAGACAGGUCGGUCUCUAUCUGCUGCAGGCGUUACAUACUUGAGGGGAGUUGGCCUUAGUACGAGAGGACUGGGCUGAACAUACCUCUGGUCUACCGGCUUUGCCACCAGGUGAACUGCCGGGUAGCUAUGUAUGGAAGGGAUAAGCGCUGAAAGCAUCUAAGCGCGAAGCCCACCCCAAGAUUAGGUAUGCGUGGUUUCGUCAUAGACUAUGACGUUGAUAGGCGUUCGGUGUAAUGUCCGCAAGGACUUUAGCCAAGACGUACUAAUAAUCCCGCCAACCAUC
This 3444-nucleotide ribosomal RNA is filed under the name Patescibacteria group bacterium. RNAcentral describes it as "23S ribosomal RNA". It matches the Rfam family "Bacterial large subunit ribosomal RNA". The record is from RNAcentral.